GACGAACGCUGGCGGCGUGCUUAACACAUGCAAGUCGAACGGAAAGGCCCUGCUUUUGUGGGGUGCUCGAGUGGCGAACGGGUGAGUAACACGUGAGUAACCUGCCCUCGACUUUGGGAUAACUUCAGGAAACUGGGGCUAAUACCGGAUAGGAGCUCCUGCUGCAUGGUGGGGGUUGGAAAGUUUCGGCGGUUGGGGAUGGACUCGCGGCUUAUCAGCUUGUUGGUGGGGUGGUGGCUUACCAAGGCUUUGACGGGUACCCGGCCUGAGAGGGUGACCGGCCACAUUGGGACUGAGGUACGGCCCAGACUCCUACAGGAGGCAGCAGUGGGGAAUAUUGCACAAUGGGCGGAAGCCUGAUGCAGCAACGCCGCGGUCGGGAUGACGGCCUUCGGGGUGUAAACCGCUUUCGCCUGUGACGAAGCGUGAGUGACGGUAAUGGGUAAAGAAGCACCGGCUAACUACGUG
RNAcentral lists this ribosomal RNA (468 nucleotides) under uncultured bacterium. RNAcentral's name for it is "partial 16S ribosomal RNA". It matches the Rfam family "Bacterial small subunit ribosomal RNA", at positions 28 to 507 of the family's 1533-position model. The record is from RNAcentral.